This is a long non-coding RNA of Phyllostomus discolor (pale spear-nosed bat), 384 nucleotides long. RefSeq lists it as uncharacterized. The transcript has 3 exons. The record is from RefSeq and is a predicted model, not a curated record. Lineage: Eukaryota; Metazoa; Chordata; Mammalia; Chiroptera; Phyllostomidae.
ACAGAUAAGUGCCCUGAGACAAUGAGCUAAUGCAUGCAAAUUAACUGACAUUUAUUAAAUAAAUAUUAGCUGCUACAGUUGUUACUAAUAGUAUUAUUUGCACAGUAAGGCUCAAUCAAAGGUGCAGUUGACCAAAGCGUAGUAAAAACACAGAUAGAGAGCGUUUACUUGGGUACAUACAUAGAUACAUACAUUUUUCUCCAAUUAAUCAUGUAUUGAGGAACAAUCUAUUGUGUGUCAGACACCGUGAUGGGCCGUGAGAAUGCAAAGAUUAACAAAUUAAACUAAUCUACCUGAAAGCCACAACUCUGUCUACCUUAGUUACUGCUGCAUCUCCGGAUCCUAGCAUAGAGCCUGACACACUGAAGAUACUUAGUAUUUGUU